CCGAGAUCUGGGACUGCAGCUUCCAGAUCUCCUCUUCACACAGCUCUCUGGGGAAGUUGAUCUUGUCAGUCAGCCCUUCCAGUCUUCCAGCAGCCCCUGCGUGUUGCCAAGAUCUGCCUCCACCUUCAGCUUCUCCUGGCCCAGUGUCCAGCUGCUGCCCAAGGCUGUGGAUGUGGCUCUCAAACACGCUGUCCAUGUUGCUCCCAGCUGUCUUCUGCUGCUGCAGGAUGCUCCACUUAGUCUCCAGCAUUUGUUCUGCUGCUCCAGGAACUGCACCUUGUCGAUGAAGGAGGCAAACUUGUUGAGGGUCUUGAUCUGCUCCUUCUCCUGGGUAUGCACAGCCUGGAUAUUGGGGUCCAGGUCCAGCUUAAGGGGGCUCAGCAGACUCUGGUUCACCAUGAUGGCUGUGUCGCCCACCCCCACCCCAUACCACUGCCC
RNAcentral lists this long non-coding RNA (438 nucleotides) under Homo sapiens (human). RNAcentral's name for it is "non-protein coding lnc-RNASEH2C-1:2". The record is from RNAcentral. Lineage: Eukaryota; Metazoa; Chordata; Mammalia; Primates; Hominidae.